UAAUACGGAGGAUCCAAGCGUUAUCCGGAUUUAUUGGGUUUAAAGGGUGCGUAGGCGGCCUAUUAAGUCAGGGGUGAAAGACGGUGGCUCAACCAUCGCAGUGCCCUUGAUACUGAUGGGCUUGAUUACACUUGAGGUAGGCGGAAUGUGACAAGUAGCGGUGAAAUGCAUAGAUAUGUCACAGAACACCAAUUGCGAAGGCAGCUUACUAAGGUGUUAAUGACGCUGAGGCACGAAAGCGUGGGGAUCAAACAGGAUUAGAUACCCUGGUAGUCCACGCCCUAAACGAUGAAUACUCGAUGUUAGCGAUAUACAGUUAGCGUCAAAGCGAAAGCGUUAAGUAUUCCACCUGGGGAGUACGCCCGCAAGGGUG
This 373-nucleotide ribosomal RNA is filed under the name uncultured bacterium. RNAcentral describes it as "bacterial SSU rRNA". It matches the Rfam family "Bacterial small subunit ribosomal RNA", at positions 521 to 896 of the family's 1533-position model. The record is from RNAcentral.